Molecule: long non-coding RNA, 1315 nt
Organism: Physeter macrocephalus (sperm whale)
Lineage: Eukaryota; Metazoa; Chordata; Mammalia; Artiodactyla; Physeteridae
Exons: 2
Source: RefSeq, a predicted model, not a curated record
CCUUUUCUUACUGGUUUAUAAUAGUUCUUCUAUAUUAUUAUUAGCCCUUUGUCAUGAGGGUGGCAAGAUCUGGCAGUAGUGGACCAGAUAGAAGGCUGCUUCAGGAAUGAGCUUCCACGUCAUCACCACAAGAAUCAAAAGGGAGUCCCAGAGUGCCACGUGCUCCAGGUAAGGCUGCUCCGCCCUGGCCUCCACACCUCUGUCAUGGAGAAUGAAGAGGGGACCUCAGAACUCUCUGUGCUCCUGACAAUACCCUCACCCUCUUUCCCCCCACGACAUUCACAGUUUUGCCGUCAGAGUCUGCCUUGAGACCACCAUAUCCAGUGUCAUCAGGUCCGUUUCCCAAUUCACUUUUACCACCACAAGAAGCCCAAGACCCUCAGUGCAUCCUUCACCACACGGACUCUGAGCCCCAUAUGGCUCUGUACUAUCCCUUUAUUGAUCUCCUUUCCAACCUAUUCCCAACUUCUGAAACCCUUCUACUGUGCCCUCUGGACUUGCUACCAGUCAUCAGCAUACCCCUUCUAUUCUCAACUUCUUCUAUUAACAUUUCCCUCACCUCCUGAAAUUCGACUCUCCACUGAGGACAUUUCUUCCCAUAUAGUCCUUUCAAGUGGUGCUGGUUUUCUUUCCAACAUUCGCCGUACACUUGGGUAAGUGAAUUCCUUUAUUCUCAUUAUGGCUUCCACAGCAUUCUCCUGUCCUCCUCUCAGCUUAAAGUCUCGUCCCCACCCUUCCUUGUUACAGUCUUCUAUUGUUCCCCACCACCAUUCCUUGAUUUUAGCUUCUGGCUUUGUCAAGCUGCCAACAUUACUUCUGUCAUAAUUCUUGGUGUCACUAUCUCAUGUAUGAUACCUCCAUUGACCUCCUGUGGACCGGAACCUCUUUUCCUCCAAGGACCCGUUUUUUCCAUCUUAUCUUAGCCACCUUCCCCAUGGUUAGAACUUAGAUUUUGUUACUAGCAAUAACCAAAACCACUUCAUUACCUCAGUUUCAAGCACUGAAACUCUCCAGCCACUGCCUCUCUCCUUCCAGCUCACUCACUAUCUGUAGCACCCAAGUCUAAAAUUCUUUGGCAGCCAUCAAGACCUAAAACCCAAUUAUCCUACUACAUUUUCACCAUCCUUCCCAUGCUUCACAUUCUUCAUGCUCUAAUCCAGCUUAGAUCCCAUAAUUGAUUUUUAUCCUCACUUUCUAGUGCUCAUCUGUCUUCCUUUGUCAUACUUGCAUGGCCAAAUCCCAACAUCUGGUUAACCUGACUCUCCUCCCAUUCUGCAUCCACACACAAGCAACUGAAUGUGGCUGGAGAAAAAUA